GCCUAAAGAUGAGCUCGCGUCUGAUUAGCUAGUUGGUGGGGUAAAAGCUUACCAAGGCGACGAUCAGUAGCUGGUCUGAGAGGAUGAUCAGCCACACUGGGACUGAGACACGGCCCAGACUCCUACGGGAGGCAGCAGUGGGGAAUUUUCCGCAAUGGGCGAAAGCCUGACGGAGCAACGCCGCGUGAGGGAGGAAGGCUUUUGGGUUGUAAACCUCUUUUAUCAAGGAAGAUAAUGACGGUACUUGAUGAAUAAUCAUCGGCUAACUCCGUGCCAGCAGCCGCGGUAAUACGGAGGAUGCAAGCGUUAUCCGGAAUAAUUGGGCGUAAAGCGUUCGUAGGUGGUUUUGUAAGUCUGCUGUUAAAGCGUGUAGCUCAACUACAUAUAGGCAGUGGAAACUACAAGACUUGAGUGCGUUCGGGGGAGAGGGAAUUCCUGGUGUAGCGGUGAAAUGCGUAUAGAUCAGGAAAAACACCCGUGGGGAAAGCGCUCUGUUAUGCCCCAACUGACACUGAGGGACAAAAG
This 525-nucleotide ribosomal RNA is filed under the name uncultured cyanobacterium. Its description in RNAcentral is "bacterial SSU rRNA". It matches the Rfam family "Bacterial small subunit ribosomal RNA", at positions 217 to 759 of the family's 1533-position model. The record is from RNAcentral. Lineage: Bacteria; Bacillati; Cyanobacteriota.